RNAcentral lists this non-coding RNA (27 nucleotides) under Mus musculus (house mouse). Lineage: Eukaryota; Metazoa; Chordata; Mammalia; Rodentia; Muridae. The record is from RNAcentral.
UGCAAGCCAAGCUGACUGUGGUCUGCC